AUAGGUCUGAACCAGAUCCAUAGUUGCUCUUAGUUAAAUAUGUCCAUGGUUUAUUAAGGUUAAUUCUACUUGUGGAUUUGUAAAUGUCAUUUAGUAAAUUAGAAUGUUUGACAAUUGAAACACACGAGCCUUAGUUGAUACUACUUGACAUAUUUUGCUAUGGCUGCAGCUGUGAUGAAUUCAAGAUCUCCGGCCUUUGCGACAUGAAGCCAAAGUUUUAUGAAUCGCAGUGUGGCAAGAAACCAUAUCAAUGCUUCUGAUACCUGUUGUAUGAUGAACUAUGGAGUUUAGGAUAAGCGUUUAAGGUUUCUAUCCCAGUUUCAAACACAAUGCAAUAUGGUAUGAGCAAUGAAAGUCCAAUCAGAGUUAUAUAAAAUGGUGCAUGGUGAAAUUAGAGGAGUUGCUACUGGUUUAGAAAUGAUGCUGUUUUGAUUUCUUGAAAUUUGAAAAAUGUGAUAUGGAAUUGGUUUAUGAUGGUCUUAUGGAGAAGACUGAAGAGAUUGAUGGAGGUUUUUUUUAAGAUGAGAAUUGAUGCUGGUACUGGUUUUGUUGUGUGCCUUUUUUUUUUAUUCUGUGUGAUUAUGUUUUUAUAUUGGGAAGAA
Molecule: long non-coding RNA, 602 nt
Organism: Vicia villosa (hairy vetch)
Lineage: Eukaryota; Viridiplantae; Streptophyta; Magnoliopsida; Fabales; Fabaceae
Exons: 3
Source: RefSeq, a predicted model, not a curated record